UACGUAGGUGGCAAGCGUUGUCCGGAAUUAUUGGGCGUAAAGCGCACGUAGGCGGCUUGGCAAGUCGGAUGUGAAAUCCCUCGGCUCAACCAAGGAAGUGCAUCCGAAACUGCUGAGCUUGAGUACUUAAGAGGAUCGCGGAAUUCCCGGUGUAGAGGUGAAAUUCGUAGAUAUCGGGAGGAACACCAGUGGCGAAGGCGGCGAUCUGGGAAGAUACUGACGCUGAGGUGCGAAAGCGUGGGGAGCAAACAGG
Molecule: ribosomal RNA, 253 nt
Filed under: uncultured bacterium
Lineage: Bacteria
Description: partial 16S ribosomal RNA
Rfam family: Bacterial small subunit ribosomal RNA
Source: RNAcentral